This 488-nucleotide ribosomal RNA is filed under the name uncultured bacterium. Its description in RNAcentral is "partial 16S ribosomal RNA". It matches the Rfam family "Bacterial small subunit ribosomal RNA", at positions 30 to 506 of the family's 1533-position model. The record is from RNAcentral.
AUUGAGCGCUGGCGGUAGGCUUAACACAUGCAAGUCGAACGGUAGCAGGAGAAAGCUUGCUUUCUUGCUGACGAGUGGCGGACGGGUGAGUAAUGCUUGGGAAUCUGGCUUAUGGAGGGGGAUAACUACGGGAAACUGUAGCUAAUACCGCGUAAUAUCUUCGGAUUAAAGACUGGGACUUUUAGCCAUUCGCCAUAAGAUGAGCCCAAGUGGGCUUAGGUAGUUGGUGGGGUAAAGGCCUACCAAGCCGACGAUCUCUAGCUGGUCUGAGAGGAUGAUCAGCCACACACGAUCUGACACACGCUCCAGACUCCUUCGGGAGGCAGGAGUGGGGAAUGUUGCGCAAUGGGGGCGACCCUGACGCAGCCAUGCCGCGUGAAUGAAGAAGGCCUUCGGGUUGUAAAGUUCUUUCGGUGGUGAGGAAGGCUAAUAUGUUAAUAGCAUAUUAGAUGGACGUUAGCCACAGAAGAGGCACCGGCAAACUCCUU